Molecule: ribosomal RNA, 482 nt
Filed under: uncultured bacterium
Lineage: Bacteria
Description: partial 16S ribosomal RNA
Rfam family: Bacterial small subunit ribosomal RNA
Source: RNAcentral
AUUGAACGCUGGCGGCAUGCCUUACACAUGCAAGUCGAACGGUAACAGGUCUUCGGAUGCUGCCGAGUGGCGAACGGGUGAGUAAUACAUCGGAACGUGCCCGAUCGUGGGGGAUAACGAGGCGAAAGCUUUGCUAAUACCGCAUACGAUCUACGGAUGAAAGCGGGGGAUCUUCGGACCUCGCGCGGACGGAGCGGCCGAUGGCAGAUUAGGUAGUUGGUGGGAUAAAAGCUUACCAAGCCGACGAUCUGUAGCUGGUCUGAGAGGAUGAUCAGCCACACUGGGACUGAGACACGGCCCAGACUCCUACGGGAGGCAGCAGUGGGGAAUUUUGGACAAUGGGCGAAAGCCUGAUCCAGCCAUGCCGCGUGCAGGAUGAAGGUCUUCGGGUUGUAAACUGCUUUUGUACGGAACGAAAAGCCUCUUUCUAAUAAAGAGGGGUCAUGACGGUACCGUAAGAAUAAGCACCGGCUAACUACGUG